ACGGGAGGCAGCAGUGGGGAAUAUUGCACGAUGGGGGAAACCCUGAUGCAGCGACGCCGCGUGAGUGAAGAAGUAUUUCGGUAUGUAAAGCUCUAUCAGCAGGGAAGAAAAUGACGGUACCUGACUAAGAAGCCCCGGCUAACUACGUGCCAGCAGCCGCGGUAAUACGUAGGGGGCAAGCGUUAUCCGGAUUUACUGGGUGUAAAGGGAGCGUAGACGGUCUGGCAAGUCUGAUGUGAAAGGCAGGGGCUCAACUCCUGGACUGCAUUGGAAACUGUCAGUCUUGAGUGUCGGAGAGGUAAGCGGAAUUCCUAGUGUAGCGGUGAAAUGCGUAGAUAUUAGGAGGAACACCAGUGGCGAAGGCGACUAUCUGGACAGUAACUGACGCUGAGGCGCGAAAGCACGGGGAGCAAACAGGAUUAGAUACCCUGGUA
Molecule: ribosomal RNA, 434 nt
Filed under: uncultured Lachnospiraceae bacterium
Lineage: Bacteria; Bacillati; Bacillota; Clostridia; Lachnospirales; Lachnospiraceae
Description: partial 16S ribosomal RNA
Rfam family: Bacterial small subunit ribosomal RNA
Source: RNAcentral